This 274-nucleotide ribosomal RNA is filed under the name uncultured bacterium. RNAcentral describes it as "partial 16S ribosomal RNA". It matches the Rfam family "Bacterial small subunit ribosomal RNA", at positions 523 to 796 of the family's 1533-position model. The record is from RNAcentral.
AUACGAACCGUACAAACGUUAUUCGGAAUCACUGGGCUUAAAGGGUGCGUAGGCGGCAUGGCAAGUUGGGUGUGAAAUCCCUCGGCUCAACCGAGGAAUGGCGCCCAAAACUGCCUUGCUUGAGGGAGAUAGAGGUGAGCGGAACUACGGGUGGAGCGGUGAAAUGCGUUGAUAUCCGUAGGAACACCGGUGGCGAAAGCGGCUCACUGGGUCUCUUCUGACGCUGAGGCACGAAAGCUAGGGUAGCGAACGGGAUUAGAAACCCCAGUAGUCC